GAGGUGAAAUCCUGCAGCUCAACUGUAGAAUUGCCUUUGAAACUGGUUGUCUUGAGUCAUUAUGAAGUGGUUAGAAUGUGUAGUGUAGCGGUGAAAUGCAUAGAUAUUACACAGAAUACCAAUUGCGAAGGCAGAUCACUAAUAAUGUACUGACACUGAUGGACGAAAGCGUGGGUAGCGAACAGGAUUAGAUACCCUGGUAGUCCACGCCGUAAACGAUGGUUACUAGCUGUUCGGACUUCGGUCUGAGUGGCUAAGCGAAAGUGAUAAGUAACCCACCUGGGGAGUACGUUCGCAAGAAUGAAACUCAAAGGAAUUGACGGGGGCCCGCACAAGCGGUGGAGCAUGUGGUUUAAUUCGAUGAUACGCGAGGAACCUUACCAGGGCUUAAAUGUAGAGUGACAGGUCUAGAAAUAGAUUUUUCUUCGGACUCUUUACAAGGUGCUGCAUGGUUGUCGUCAGCUCGUGCCGUGAGGUGUCAGGUUAAGUCCUAUAACGAGCGCAACCCCUGUUGUUAGUUGCCAGCAGUAAUGUCGGGAACUCUAGCAAGACUGCCAGUGCAAACUGUGA
RNAcentral lists this ribosomal RNA (570 nucleotides) under uncultured Bacteroidota bacterium. RNAcentral describes it as "bacterial SSU rRNA". It matches the Rfam family "Bacterial small subunit ribosomal RNA", at positions 591 to 1167 of the family's 1533-position model. Lineage: Bacteria; Pseudomonadati; Bacteroidota. The record is from RNAcentral.